CCCUUAGAUGUUCGGGGCUGCACACGCGCUACACUGGAGGAAACAGCGUGUAUUGACCUGGUCCGAAAGGACUGGGUAAACCUGUGAAACUUCUCCGUGCUUGGGAUAGCGGAUUGCAAUUGUUUCGCAUCAACGAGGAAUUCCUAGUAAGCGCGAGUCAUCAGCUCGUGCUGAUUACGUCCCUGCCCUUUGUACACACCGCCCGUCGCUGCAACUGAUUGGGUGACCUGGUGAACAUCUUGGACUGGUCCACUCAAUUUCGAGAGGACUGGAAAAGGCCGUAAAUCAGGUACAUCUAGAAAUUGCAAAAGUCGUAACA
This 319-nucleotide ribosomal RNA is filed under the name uncultured eukaryote. RNAcentral describes it as "partial 18S ribosomal RNA". It matches the Rfam family "Eukaryotic small subunit ribosomal RNA", at positions 1470 to 1796 of the family's 1831-position model. The record is from RNAcentral.